UUUAAAUUUUGAGUUUAUCAUGACUGUGAAUGUACGAAUCGUCUUUUUCGUGAGUGAAUUGCUUUGAAUUCGUGUGUGUGUUUUUUGAGACUUUGGUGGCAGCGCGCUCUCCAACGUGGGUCACUCGUACUCUUUAGCCAAUCAGAUGCAAGCUUACCAUUCAACCAAUCAUAACCCGCCAAGAGCGCAGCAUUCAAGGAGCUCAGCAUUGCACACCUUUUGUGCAAUCAACUGAAAUGAAGCUUCACGUCAUCAACCAAGCAUGGUGAACGAAGUGCGGGAUAUACGUAUUGUAUUAAAGGACUCUCGUCAUGUAAUACUGUCACAGAGCAGUUGUUCUUAUGUUCCUGGGACAGCACAUUGUUGCACUAACUCAGAGUGCACAGCACAGAACAGAAGUUCACAGCUGUACUGAAACGGUUGAGAGCGGACACAGACCUAGAACAAUGAGGUUCUGUCUGCAAGACCCAAAGAAAUGAGCUUGCUGAUGUAUUAAGGAGUACCUUUUAAAAGAGUGUCACCUGUAAGCUGCCUGACCUCACAGUCCUCCAAGUAGCAGAGGCGUUUAAGGACCUUGCCAGUGCUGUAGCCCCUUCGGUCACCACUAUCAGGAUGUCACAUGUCAAUUCUUUGGUGGAUUUUGGCUUUGGCAGAGUUUAG
Molecule: non-coding RNA, 660 nt
Organism: Misgurnus anguillicaudatus (oriental weatherfish)
Lineage: Eukaryota; Metazoa; Chordata; Actinopteri; Cypriniformes; Cobitidae
Source: RefSeq, a predicted model, not a curated record